GAUUUAAAGCUGACGGGGGUCAGCUUAGCCUUUGAGUGGGGAAUUCACUCUGGUGAUUACCCCAGGGCUUAAGUGUUCUGUAAGAAAACUUAAUUUCUCCAGAUUGAUUUUCUGCUCUCUUUCAUCACCAAAUUGUUGCUAGUUCACCAAGUAUACUCCCUUAAUGUUCAAAUUCUGUGUCAUGGAAUCCGAAUAGUAGUUCAGAGGGGCAAGGUGGAAGGGGAUAUAUAGACAGGAAGGUAUGGGUUCAGUGAUGGUCCUUGUCAAUUGAAUAUGGGCAGUUUUUUCCAUUCAAAUCCUAAUCUCAUUUCAUCUAAUAAUUAUUCCUAAAUGUAGACAAGCAGUAGGACAGCCCUUUCCUGGAGAAACAAUAUAAAUGUUUGGAAAGAAAAAGAGCUUCUGUUCUAAGUGCUGUGUGUCUGAAUUCUCCAACUUGAUGGCUAAGACAAGGCAUUUGUUUGUACCUGGAGCCAGGUCAUCAUUUUCCAGUAAUCUAGUGAUACUGUUCUCCAACAUCUGGGAGGUCUCAUGACCCAGCUGCCCUUGAAUGGAUUUAAAAGGUGACUGGAACACUUCUUUCUGACCUCAGAGAUGUGAUGGAUGUCCGGGAAGAUUUUCUCAAGGGCUAGAAGUUAAGAACUUUGUUCCUACUGUUUAUCUUUUUCCCUUUCAUAUUCAAGCCACUUAACCAUACUGAGCCUCAACUUUUUCAUUUAUAAAAUGGAAAUCAUUUUAACUUUUCUCUGGAGGACAGCUGUUGCCUGCCCAUCACUAUUUCCUCCUUUUCUGGUGACAACAUCCUACUUUCCUUCAAAGAAUAAUGCCUACCCCAUUAUAAUAACUUUUACACGGGGCUGUCCCAACACAUGCUGCCUUCAAGGCUAGGUGCAUGACACAGGCCUGGCCAAUCAGUGUGUCCAAUCCCUCUGGCCACUGUGAUUGGUCCAGUUACGGGUAUAUGAUGCAGAUCAAUCCAGUAAAACUCAACCUCGUGACUUUUACUGGAACCAUCAGUCAAGACGCCUUCUUUUUCUGUGAGUUUUCCAGGCUAGGAGAAGGAAAGUUAGAGCCCUGGGAUGCCACGUCAUGAGAAAAGCCUGCCAGAGAGCAAAACUAGCACAAAGGAAAGAAAGUAUUCCAAUAAAAGGGUGACGCUGAAAGCUGAAAUGUGAAUUUGUUAAAUCCUCAAAUAGCCAACAGCUUCUAGGACAAGAUCAUACACAGUUAGGACCUCGAUAACAAUUUGUUAGUGGAAUAGAUAAGAACAUUUUAGAUCCUGUUGCUCAAUUCUGAAAUGCUGCUCUGUGUCAUGAAUAUUGGUUUAUUUUCUUUGUAGAGUGAAGUCAUUAAGACUAGAGCUCCAGGCUUCUUCAUCCAACUCCAAGGGUUCCCAGCAACAUGUGAAGUCCUCUAUCUGUCACUAAGAAGCCGUGUGAGUGAAGCAGGCUAUAUACCUUGGUUUCAACAUCUGUGAACAAGGUGUAAUGAUGGUUUUCUCAUCUUUUUUUAGGAUCGUUAUAAGAAUCUGAGACAGUGAGAGGGAAAAGAUUGUUUUCCAUUCAUUAGCUCAGGCUGGGCAUUGGAGGCAUCUCCUCUGAGCACCUGCUAAAACAGCACUGGCAAGUCACUCUUUGGAGCCAUUUCUGGAAAGAGGUUCUAUACAAAUAAAAUUAGAAAAGUCUGAAUUUAGCAUAUGAGAAAUGUUAUGGCCAUUGGUACCUAUCACUCUAAACACCAUUCUGCUUAUUCUUGUCAUGUAGGGGCAUUUGAUUUUUAAUCUAUCCACUUAAAUAUUGGCUGCUUCUAUAGACUUCCCAACCAGCAGUCCUUGUGCAGGCAAAACUCCCAUUUAACUGAAUGAAAGUAUUAAACAUAAAAUAUUGUUAGGAAGAGUCUGAUAUUGUAUUUAUCUUGCUGAUAAUUAUCUUACAUGUUUUAAUUACUCCCAGUAGUGUCCCAAGGCUGAUUAAAGGAAAAAUAUAAUUUACUCAUCGAAAUAAGAUAUUAUACAAGUAUCAAAUGAUAUUGAUAAAUAUUAAACAAUAAACUUUCCUAGAAUUCUUUCCCUAAAAAAUUGGGGACCUUAUACUUCACUAGUUAUAUAUUUCAGAGCAAGCUGGUUUAUAACAGAAUGAUAAAGGUGAUUAGAAUGAAAGAGAGGCCAUUUGGAUUGAUUCAGUUUUGCUACAUUUAUUAUAAUUUACAAUACUUUGCCAUAAAAAUAAAAUAGUUACCCAACCUCAGAUUACUGUCUUUAUAUUGUGGUUGAUUUUAUAAUUGCUGACCUUUAUCCCAUAGAUUUUUCAGGGUUAGUUAUUACUGGUUUUUACCUGAGAGAUUUGGGGGAGUUGUGUUUAUCGCUCAAAUAUCCAAUCUAAAUUUGGUUCUCUUAUAGCAAUGGAUGGAUGACUCACCUCUCAUAGGAAUGAUAGAACUUGGAUCAUCUUGUCAAUCACAGAGCUUGGUGGCCUUCUACAAAUGUUUGUGGAAUGAAUAAGUGAGAGAAUGAGAGAUUAAUAAAGCCAAUACUAUCACCAGUCCAACGAAGAGCUGCAACUGAAAAAAAAGUCUGACAAAAAAUGGCUAGUUCAAGUAGCAGUUUAUCCCAGACACGCAUCCGUGGAUAGGAGGGAGCUACACGCUUUCCUGAUAAUCUGGUUUCAUAUGAAGACAAAGGUUAAAGUAGGACAGACGAGUGAUACUCUACCAAAGAUUUUGAGUAUUCUUAACAUUCCCAUUUUUCCACUAAGAGCAGGACAAAGGCAGGUGAGUUUGCUGAUUUAUACUGAUUGAUCAGAAUGCAUGUCUUUGGCCUUAUAUGUAUGAUACACUAUUGAAAUAACCAGAGAAACCCUCAUCCUACCAAGCAUGUAUUCAUAGAAAAAUGAGAUGACCGUCACCUUAAAUUCUGCUUUCUCAGGGAGGUCUUGAUUGACUAAAUGUUCGAAUUUUAAAUUAGC
Molecule: long non-coding RNA, 2960 nt
Filed under: Homo sapiens (human)
Lineage: Eukaryota; Metazoa; Chordata; Mammalia; Primates; Hominidae
Description: HSALNT0349284
Source: RNAcentral